This 273-nucleotide ribosomal RNA is filed under the name uncultured bacterium. Its description in RNAcentral is "partial 16S ribosomal RNA". It matches the Rfam family "Bacterial small subunit ribosomal RNA", at positions 524 to 796 of the family's 1533-position model. The record is from RNAcentral.
UACGGAGGGUGCAAGCGUUACUCGGAAUCACUGGGCGUAAAGGAUGCGUAGGCUGGAAAUCAAGUCGAGAGUGAAAUCCAACGGCUCAACCGUUGAACUGCUCUCGAAACUGGUUACCUAGAAUAUGGGAGAGGUAGAUGGAAUUAGUGGUGUAGGGGUAAAAUCCGUAGAUAUCACUAGGAAUACCGAUUGCGAAGGCGAUCUACUGGAACAUUAUGGAAGCGGAGGCAUGCAAGCGGGGGGAGAAAACAGGAGGAGAUAACAGGGGAGUCC